Molecule: ribosomal RNA, 372 nt
Filed under: Triticum aestivum (bread wheat)
Lineage: Eukaryota; Viridiplantae; Streptophyta; Magnoliopsida; Poales; Poaceae
Description: partial small subunit ribosomal RNA
Source: RNAcentral
AUGAUUCCUGCAGCAGCUCCGGUGGCCGAUGCUUUCUUGCACGCACGCUCUGUGGCUUUGCUUGCUUGCUUACUCGGGUUGGUGAAGAGAGGGAGGGGACGCGACCCUGGUUAUAUACGGCGAGCAUGGUCAUGGAGGAAGUUCUGGUCAUGGCGGUUUGUAACGCUGGAGGAGUCCAGAAUAUUCGUGGACGCGGCCGCGAGGGAGAGCCUCGUGACGCACGCGGUGGCGUCGUGGAGGUUGCAACCGUCUCGUGGUUUCGGGGUUUCGCGCGUGUUUUUUUUCCCUCCUGUGCUGCUUUCUCUGCCCGUGAAAUUUGACAAAUAUGAUUUUUUUUCGGUAUUGAUAAGUGCCGAACGUGCCACGCUCUAG